This 426-nucleotide ribosomal RNA is filed under the name Triticum aestivum (bread wheat). Its description in RNAcentral is "partial small subunit ribosomal RNA". The record is from RNAcentral. Lineage: Eukaryota; Viridiplantae; Streptophyta; Magnoliopsida; Poales; Poaceae.
AUGUCUGAUGACGAUGGGAUCCCGGAGUGCGGGUACUGCUACGAUGACCGUGGUGUGUGCGACAUGUUUCCUCACCUGCAAAAUGAUAGGUUUUUCACCGUGAAGCUAGAAGAAACCUUCGAUAUUUGUACGAGGCUCCCGAAGCAGGUUGUGCCUGACAUGCUAUGUACCGAAGGUGAUAUGCAUAUGGUUAGCUUACGACCAACUCCUUCGGAGGCUUACCAUACUACAUACUCGAUUUCUUCAAAUGAUGGAAGGCUCAAAAUCAAAGAAUGGAGCAAAGUGAUGAAUGCGCACACGCAAAUAAUUGGAGACAAAAUGAAUGUGUGCAAGCCACAAGUUGGAGAUAGGUUUAUGUCCAUUCUCCAUUAUGGUGAAGGACCGGUUUAUCUGUUUUAUGGUAUUUUAGCUAGGAGAGAGGAGUAG